Molecule: non-coding RNA, 157 nt
Organism: Populus trichocarpa (black cottonwood)
Lineage: Eukaryota; Viridiplantae; Streptophyta; Magnoliopsida; Malpighiales; Salicaceae
Source: Rfam
UCUAGAACUCGAGAUAUAGCGCUAAACACUGAAAAGUGUCUGGGCUGCAAGACAGAUUCAGACGUCUCUUUUGAUGCUAAGAUUUGAACUUGAAAACGAAAGAUUUGAAUCUUGGACGCUGCAUGAAAGUUUUAGGCAUAUGUCUUAGCUUUCCAUC